GAACUCAGCGGCAGGAGGGUGACCGCACUUUUAACCAGCGGCUGCUGUCAUGACGACCCAGGGGGGCCUGGUGGCCAACCGAGGCCGGCGGUUCAAAUGGGCCAUUGAGCUGAGUGGACCGGGAGGAGGGAGCAGGGGCCGAAGUGACCGGGGCAGUGGACAGGGAGACUCACUCUAUCCAGUCGGUUACUUGGACAAGCAAGUGCCUGAUACCAGCGUGCAAGAGACCCGACGGAUCCCUGGUGGAGAAGGUACAGAGGUAUUAGAUGUAACUGUAGCAUUUGGACCAGUCCUGUCUCACCUUACUCUCUGGAGUAGAGGUAAAGCAGCUGGUCACUACCUGAGUGUUUGAGAGCCACAAUGCUUAAGAUUUAUAUUACAGUAUCUUACAUAUAUGUUCCCUGACAUAAUUUCAGUGUGUCGGGAUAUUGUGUUACUUUUACCUUCAAAACAUCCCAAUCCUGCUAUCAUUUCUUACUGCCUUCAACUGUUACAUCACCAGCAGUAGACUAAUAAUCGAUCAACUGUCCCUCCAUCCCUCUAUUUAAAAUAAAGCAUGGUUUCUCAACCUCAGUACUGUUUUCUAUUUGAGGAGGACUACUUCUGUGAACCUGAGAAAGAAAGCACCAUGCUUAUGGACCUCAUCUGCAUUUUAAGCUGUUGACUCCUGAACAUCUUCACUUAAAUAAUCAUGCAUGUUGAGAGGAGCCAAAAAGCUUGCAUUUUUUCCCAUGGUGAAAAGAGAGAUUUUACAAGGACAGUAUGCAGCAUGUUACAGCAGAAAAGAAACUAUAGCACAACUUAUGACUGAAAAUAAUGUAGAAAACUUUAUUUAUGUUCCCAGCACAGAGCAAAACAAACAAAACCAGACUCUAUGUAAACAAAAGACUAGCAGCCGCUGAGUAGCAGCAUCUCCUUUC
Molecule: long non-coding RNA, 920 nt
Filed under: Rattus norvegicus (Norway rat)
Lineage: Eukaryota; Metazoa; Chordata; Mammalia; Rodentia; Muridae
Description: long non-coding RNA NONRATT019563
Source: RNAcentral